Molecule: long non-coding RNA, 1355 nt
Organism: Bos taurus (domestic cattle)
Lineage: Eukaryota; Metazoa; Chordata; Mammalia; Artiodactyla; Bovidae
Source: Ensembl
AAAUGGGAAGUCCAAUCUGGGUGCUUAGAGAUGUGUAAGAGUGAGCCAGGCGAAAGGAGGUGAACGUUCUCAGCUUCUCCUGAUUUGUUAACUUGGAAGUCAUAUUCUUUGUCUACCCCAAAGGACUACAGGGCCAAUGAGAACAGAAACUGCUUUCGUUCUGCCCCAACACACAACAGAAACAGAAGAACUGAAACCUCAGCUGAGGCUUCUGCUCUCGCAUUUCAGUAUCUCUUAUGACGUGGAAGAGCUGAGCGAUGCUUCUAAGGAGACAGAACUUUUUGCCUUGGUUUCCCCAAAAUUUCAAAGCAUCUUCAUGGAACAACAGAGAAUGCAAACGUUUCCAGACUAUAAUGCUGGGAUAGCUAAAGUGGAAAAUUUGAAUUUGGCAGGACCUCGUAGGGCCUUGAAAAAGGGAGCCAACUGGACUUCCUUUAUAAAGAUUAAGCCAAAAUGUGAUCCUUGGCAAAAGAAGCUUUUGACCAAACUAAAAGAACGGAGAAGAAUAGAUGUAUUAAUGCAACUCCAAGCAAAGUUUUUGAAGAAUGAAAACACUAAGGAAGAUGACCUUUCAGUGCAACGAGAUGAAAAUGACCCAGCACUAAUAAAUCUUAGCCAGUGUGCUAAUAAGCCUGUGAAGCAGAAGAAAGAGACAGGUUACAGUUAUGCAGUGGCCCUACAGCUGCUGGGCUUGGAUGACGGGACUGGGCCCAGUAACAGGGAUCCUGUCCUGAUGAGGGGGACCUACUUGUCCUUUCUGUAUCUGCGUCACCUGAGGAUCCGGGAGCUGCAGCGCAUCUGCUUAGGAAUUCUGAACUAUUUUAGAUCUGUUGAGCGAACACUGACGAUCAACACUUCAGGCCUUACCUUGGUUUCAGGGAGCCUGGUCCCUACCUCAGAAGACAGUUCCUGGGUAAAUAAAGCAAAAGGAGGCAUGGGCACCUCGCAAGGCCUAGGCGCUCACCACUAUGCCCACGGGACACCUGCCGAGCACAGGGUGAGGAUUGUGUUACAGUUUUUUUCCCAUGAUUAUCUUGUCUUCUAAGCCACUUCUUCUUAGCACCUGGAAUCAGUUAAAAUGAUGAAGUAACAGGUGGGAGUUUCUAGGAAAAUAACUUUUUUGAAAAAUUGCAGUGAAAAGGGAAAUGGCUUUUUAACCACAAUAAAUACAGUGUCCACUUGAGAGCAGGACAUAGGCAGAGAACAUGAAGGCCUGGAAACCACAAUAGGAAGGCAGGCAGGCAUUUCAGCUGCUGAUUUAUCCACUUUAUAGUGAACAGACCAAGAGGAGCCCUUUCAGAGAACCACAUGUCCUUACAGAGAAAUUCUUAUAAGACCCUCCUUGACAUUGCAAG